CAGCCCUGUGCUGUGCUGAGAAUGGGGAGGUUCCGUGCCACCGGGAAGUCCCCUGUGCUCCACAGGCCACACAGGCAAGACAUGGAAACAGGCAUGAGAGGUUGAAUGGCUUGCCCAAGGACUCACAGCAAGUUAGGCCCUUACCCUCCCUCCAGGAAGUCCUCCAGGCAGCUCCGGCC
Molecule: long non-coding RNA, 179 nt
Organism: Fukomys damarensis (Damara mole-rat)
Lineage: Eukaryota; Metazoa; Chordata; Mammalia; Rodentia; Bathyergidae
Exons: 3
Source: RefSeq, a predicted model, not a curated record